AGCCAUCCCUGCCGAUUACUGGAGGUUACGUACCACGGAGGAUACGUACCAGGAGGUUACGUACCAUUUUUGGAGAAAGCAGUAUGACGGAAUCAGCCCACUGUUUAGUUUGUUCUAAAGAAGUUACAAGAAGACAACAUGCUUUACAAUGCGACCAAUGUAAUAAUUGGCAGCAUCGUUUAUGUGGGACAGGAAUAACACAGUCAGAUUACAGGAUGAUGGUGCGUGGUGUUAUUGAGGUCGAGUGGAGCUGUAGCAUAUGCAAGUCUCCGGUAAGUAAUACUGAUGAAUUUAAUUUAAUGAAAUUUCG
Long non-coding RNA from Ruditapes philippinarum (Manila clam), 310 nucleotides. RefSeq lists it as uncharacterized. Lineage: Eukaryota; Metazoa; Mollusca; Bivalvia; Venerida; Veneridae. The record is from RefSeq and is a predicted model, not a curated record. The transcript is spliced from 3 exons.